CCUACGGGUGGCAGCAGUGAGGAAUAUUGGUCAAUGGGCGGAAGCCUGAACCAGCCAAGUAGCGUGCGGGAUGAAGGCCCUACGGGUCGUAAACCGCUUUUGCACGGGGAUAACACCCUCCACUUGUGGAGGUCUGCAGGUACCGUGCGAAUAAGGGCCGGCGAAUUCCGUGCCAGCAGCCGCGGUAAUCCGGAAGGCCCGAGCGUUAUCGGGAUUCAUUGGGCUUAAAGGGAGCGUAGGCGGGCGUUAACGUCAGCUGUAAAAUCGCGCGGCUCAACCGCGCCCCGCAGUGGAAACGGGACGCAUGGAGUUCACAACAGGCAGGCGGAAGUCGUGGUGUAGCGGUGAAAUGCAUAGAUAGCACGAGGAACCCCGAUGGCGAAGGCAGCCUGCCGGGGUGCGACUGACGCUGAGGCUCGAAGGUGCGGGUAUCAAACAGGAUUAGAUACCCUGGUAGUC
Molecule: ribosomal RNA, 459 nt
Filed under: uncultured bacterium
Lineage: Bacteria
Description: partial 16S ribosomal RNA
Rfam family: Bacterial small subunit ribosomal RNA
Source: RNAcentral